UACGUAGGGUCCAAGCGUUAUCCGGAAUCACUGGGCGUAAAGCGUGCGUAGGUGGCUUGUUAAGUGCGAUGCGAAAUCCUGUGGCUCAACCAUAUGGACUGUAUCGCAUACUGGCUAUCUAGAGGACAUGAGAGGCAAGUGGAAUUACUGGUGUAGCAGUGAAAUGCGUAGAGAUCAGUAGGAACACCAAUGGCGAAGGCAGCUUGCUGGCAUGUAUCUGACGCUAAGGCACGAAAGCGUGGGGAGCGAACAGG
RNAcentral lists this ribosomal RNA (254 nucleotides) under uncultured bacterium. Its description in RNAcentral is "partial 16S ribosomal RNA". It matches the Rfam family "Bacterial small subunit ribosomal RNA", at positions 524 to 776 of the family's 1533-position model. The record is from RNAcentral.